Molecule: long non-coding RNA, 2858 nt
Filed under: Podarcis lilfordi (Lilford's wall lizard)
Lineage: Eukaryota; Metazoa; Chordata; Lepidosauria; Squamata; Lacertidae
Source: RNAcentral
CUCCCAGUUUGUUAUGGGCCCGACACAUCAAGCAGGCCACACGCUGCAUUUGAUCUUUGGUGCUGGCAUAGAUGUGAUCAUGCUCCCCCCUGUGGAAGUGCCAUGGUCUGAUCACUACGCUCUGAAAGCCAAGAUCGACUUCCCGCUCCUCCCCUGCUCAGGUGGCGAGCCUAUUUGGGCUCGCCCGCGAAGACUGAUGGAUCCUGAUAGAUUCCGUCUGGCCUUGAGGGACCCUGCUCCUCCUGGCGACUCAUUAGAUGACCUUGUCGAGGACUGGAAUAACCGGCUCUUGGCAGCCAUUGAUGAGAUUGCGCCUAAGCGCCCUCUGCGACCCCGUUGAAACCGGGCCCCUUGGUUUACCGAGGAGCUCCGGAAAAUGAAGCGGGAUCUCAGACGGCUAGAGCAAGUAUGACGACGGAUUCGUGACGGAGCUUCAAGAACAUCUUAUAGGACACUUAUGAAAGCCUAUGAGAUGGCUAUGAAAGCUGCUAAGAAAUCUCACUUCGCAGCUUCCAUUGCAUCCACUAGCUCUCGCCCAGCACAACUUUUUAGAAUAAUUAGGUCAAUAACGUCCUUAGGAGGACAACCAAAUUUAAGCACAAAUUCGACCCACAGCUGUGAGGCAUUUGCAAGCUUUUUUGCAGAGAAAGUCCUGUUGCUCUGCCAUGACCUUCCUGCCAAUUUAGAUACAGUGACAGAACUGGAGGCCCCUCGAUUGUCCUCGGGUCCAGUGUUAGAACAUUUCAAUCGGAUACUCCCUGCUGAUGUGGAUAGACUCCUCCAAGCUGGUAGGCCCACCACCUGCCUCCUCGAUCCGUGCCCGUCUUGGCUGAUUAGGGCGUGUCCAGAUGUCAUAGAAUCAUAGAGUUGGAAGAGACCACAAGGGCCAUCGAGUCCAACCGCCUGCCAAGCAGGAAACACCAUCAGAGCACUCCUGACAUAUGGUUGUCAAGCCUCUGCUUAAAGACCUCCAAAGAAGGAGACUCCACCACACUCCUUGGCAGCAAAUUCCACUGUUGAACAGCUCUUACUGUCAGGAAGUUCUUCCUAAUGUUUAGGUGGAAUCUUCUUUCUUGUAGUUUGGAUCCAUUGCUCCGUGUCCGCUUCUCUGGAGCAGCAGAAAACAACCUUUCUCCCUCCUCUAUGUGACAUCUUUUUAUAUAUUUGAACAUAUUGGAACAUGAAUAUAUUUUAUAUAUUUGAACAUGUCGCGCGGACCCUCCUGGUUGAAAUUAUCAAUUUGUCCCUCGACACAGGGAUAUUCCCAGGGGAGCUGAAGGAAGCAAUGGUGUGUCUGCUCUUAAAGAACACUUCACUAGAUCCUUUAGAUCUAUCCAAUUACCGCCCAGUUUCAAAUCUCCCAUAUCUGGGUAAGGUAAUUGAGAGAGCAGUUGCUGAACAGCUUGGUAGGUUUCUGGAGGAAACAUCGGCUUUAGAUCCAUUUCAGUCCAGAUUCCGUCCUGGUUUUGGGGCCGAGACGGCUCUGAUCACCCUAACAGAUGAUCUCUGCAGACAACUGGAUUGAGGCGGGUCGGGACUGCUGAUUCCCUUAGAUUUGUCAGCAGCCUUUGACAUGGUUGAUCAUGAUCUUUUGGACCACCGCCUUGCCGAUGUGGGGAUACAGGGCAUAGCCCAUAAAUGGCUGUGCUCUUUUAUCUCUGGUCGGGGACAGAGGGAGGCACUAGGGAGGGAGUUGUCGUCGCGCCACUCCUUGGUGUGUGGAGUGCCACAGGGCGCAAUCCUCUCCCCAAUGCUUUUUAACAUCUUUAUGCGCCCCCUUGCCCAGAUUAUCCGGAGCUUUGGGCUGGGUUGUCACCAAUAUGCUGGUGACACUCAGCUCUAUCUGCUGAUGGAUGGCCAUACCGACUCGAUCCCUGACACACUGACCAGAUGUUUGGAAGCUGUGGCUGGAUGGUUUCGUGGGAGCUGAUUGAAACUAAAUCCUUCAAAGACAGAGGUCCUCUGGCUGGGUCGAGAUGGUAUGGGGAUGAGGGACCAACUCCCUUCUCUUGCGGGGGCCCAAUUAGUGCCAUUGCCUUCUGUUAAGAGUUUGGGUGUAAUCCUUGACGCCUCCCUUUCCACAGAGGUGCAGGUUACAACAGCCAAGGCGACAUUUUUCCAUCUUCGCCGCAUCAAGCAGUUGGUCCCUUACCUUUCCCACCCCGACCUGGCCACAGUGAUCCAUGCGAUGGUCACCUCCAGGCUUGACUACUGUAAUUCGCUCUACGCGGGGCUGCCCUUGAAGCUGUCCCAGAAACUCCAGCGGGUGCAAAAUGCUGCAGCGAGGCUCCUCACGGGGUCUCUGCCAUGGGAGCAUAUUCACCCAGUGCUAUUCCAGCUACACUGGCUCCCAGUGGAGUACAGGGUCAGAUUUAAGGUGCUGCUUUUGAAUUUUAAAGCUCUUCACAGCCUAGGACCCUUGUAUUUACAGGACCGCCUCUCCCGGUAUGCCCCACGGAGAGCCUCAAGGUCCAUAAAUAGCAACACCCUAGUGGUCCCCGGCCCUAAGGAAGUUAGAUUAGCCUCAACCAGAGCCACAGCCUUCUCAACACUGGCUCCGGCCUGGUGGAACACUCUGCCUCAUGAGACCAGGGCCCUGCAGGAUCUGAUUUCUUUCUGCAGGGCCUGUAAGACAGAGUUGUUCCACCUGGCCUUUGGCUCAGAAUCAGUUUGAUUCCCUCCCCCUCUUUCUUUUUCCUUUCUCCUCCUAUGAAGAGAUUGCUCCCUAAUUGUUUUAAUGUUGUAUCUUAAUCUUUUAAAUUGUGUUUUAAUCAACUUGUUUUUAUUAUUGGUUGUCAGCCGUGCUGAGCCCGGUCUUGGCUGGGGAGGGCGGGGUAUAAAUAAAUUAUUAUUAUUAU